This 502-nucleotide ribosomal RNA is filed under the name uncultured bacterium. RNAcentral's name for it is "partial 16S ribosomal RNA". It matches the Rfam family "Bacterial small subunit ribosomal RNA", at positions 28 to 523 of the family's 1533-position model. The record is from RNAcentral.
GACGAACGCUGGCGGCAUGCCUAACACAUGCAAGUCGAACGGUAAGGCUUCCUUCGGGAAGUACACGAGUGGCGAACGGGUGAGUAACACGUGGGUAACCUACCCUUGACUGGGGGACAACCGAGGGAAACUUCGGCUAAUACCGCAUAACGUGCAUUGCCUCAAGGUGGUGUACCAAAGCUCCGGCGGUUAAGGAUGGGCCCGCGGCAGAUUAGCUUGUUGGUGAGGUAACGGCUUACCAAGGCGACGAUCUGUAGCUGGUCUGAGAGGACGAUCAGCCACACUGGAACUGAGACACGGGCCAGACUCCUACGGGAGGCAGCAGUGGGGAAUAUUGGACAAUGGGCGCAAGCCUGAUCCAGCCAUGCCGCGUGUGUGAAGAAGGCCUUAUGGUUGUACAGCACUUUAAGCGAGGAGGAGGCUACUUUAGUUAAUACCUAGAGAUAGUGGACGUUACUCGCAGAAUAAGCACCGGCUAACUCUGUGCCAGCCGCCGCCGUAA